UCUAAUGUGUUGAUGAAUGGUUGUUUAGGAAAAAAAAAUUGUAUGUGUAGGAAGUAAAUUAUUUUGGACUAUGUAGUUGAUUUUUAAUAUGUGGACAUGAGUUAUGAUUUUUGAAAAAUUUGAAAAAAGUAAGAUAAAUAAACAAUUUAAUUCCAAAAAUAAGGUUCGUGAAAACUUAUAUCCCAAAAUAAGCGUCCGUACAUCCAAGCCUAGCCUCGGGAUAAGUCGCUGUUAGUAACAGCCAAAGAGGGAAAAAAAAAAAUUAAAAGGCCCGAUGCCGCUGUUACUAACAGCGAUUUAAAAAAUAAAAAAAAGAUAUUUUUUUUAAUUUUUAAUAGUAGUGAACGUGGGAGUUGGGGUACAAUUGAGGUACAAUUCUCAUACAACAGCAGCAGUAGAAAGAAGAGAAAAAGUGAAAAGAAAAAGGAAGAAGAAAAACUGGAAAAGAAGAAGAAGAAGAAGAAAUCACAUCACAAUUUGUCACAAUUGUCUUACUCGUCUUACUUCUAAGAAAAAGGGCUCCAAUAAAUUUUCAAAGUCCGAAAUUUGCCAAUCUGUUCGUGCUAUUUCACUCUUAGUGAUUAACCUUGUUCAUCAAGAUGCUGCACACCAGGUGUUCGAUGAAUGUCUUCCCGUUCUUUCUGAUGCAUUAGUCAACUUUAAAUCUCAUGAAAUUGAUGUGAUUUUAGAGGAAGUCGAUUCGUGACCGGGAACUGAAUAGGACGCUUGAGAGUUGGUUAUCUUAAGGUUGAUUGCAGGUGGGGACUGGAGUGAGGUCUCGACUUAGAACCCGUAAUUAUCAAAACUAUGUUUUUACCUUUUUGUAUUGGAUUAUGAGUAGAAAGAAACUCCGAACUUAUGUAACAAGAGAUAGUAUUGUUUUCUUUUCGCUUUCGCUUAUUUCAAUUAGUUUGUCUAGAGGCCUUUGGGCUCUCGAGUUGUACGUAAGAGCUUCCGCUGAUUUAUUUUCUUUUACGCUGGUACUGUCUUCUGCUUUGGUUAUAUUUCUUUAUCAACGGAACGUUGACGAUCCUUGAGAAGACUUU
Molecule: long non-coding RNA, 1046 nt
Organism: Amaranthus tricolor (Joseph's coat)
Lineage: Eukaryota; Viridiplantae; Streptophyta; Magnoliopsida; Caryophyllales; Amaranthaceae
Exons: 3
Source: RefSeq, a predicted model, not a curated record